GUGCUCACUUUGGCAGCAUAUAAACUAAAAUUGGAAUGAUACAGAGAAGAUUAACAUGGCCCCUGUGCAAGGAUGACACACAAAUUAGUGAAGUGUUCCAUAUUCUU
Choloepus hoffmanni (Hoffmann's two-fingered sloth) is the source of this 107-nucleotide small nuclear RNA. Lineage: Eukaryota; Metazoa; Chordata; Mammalia; Pilosa; Megalonychidae. The record is from Ensembl.